Molecule: ribosomal RNA, 245 nt
Filed under: uncultured bacterium
Lineage: Bacteria
Description: partial 16S ribosomal RNA
Rfam family: Bacterial small subunit ribosomal RNA
Source: RNAcentral
AGUAACGCGUGAGGAACCUGCCUUCCAGAGGGGGACAACAGUUGGAAACGACUGCUAAUACCGCAUGAUACAUUUGAAUCGCAUGGUUUGAAUGUCAAAGAUUUAUCGCUGGAAGAUGGCCUCGCGUCUGAUUAGCUAGUUGGUGAGGUAACGGCCCACCAAGGCGACGAUCAGUAGCCGGACUGAGAGGUUGGCCGGCCACAUUGGGACUGAGAUACGGCCCAGACUCCUACGGAAGGCAGCAG